GAUGAACGCUGGCGGCGUGCCUAAUACAUGCAAGUCGAGCGAACGGACGAGAAGCUUGCUUCUCUGAUGUUAGCGGCGGACGGGUGAGUAACACGUGGAUAACCUACCUAUAAGACUGGGAUAACUUCGGGAAACCGGAGCUAAUACCGGAUAAUAUUUUGAACCGCAUGGUUCAAAAGUGAAAGACGGUCUUGCUGUCACUUAUAGAUGGAUCCGCGCUGCAUUAGCUAGUUGGUAAGGUAACGGCUUACCAAGGCAACGAUGCAUAGCCGACCUGAGAGGGUGAUCGGCCACACUGGAACUGAGACACGGUCCAGACUCCUACGGGAGGCAGCAGUAGGGAAUAUUCCGCAAUGGGCGAAAGCCUGACGGAGCAACGCCGCGUGAGUGAUGAAGGUCUUCGGAUCGUAAAACUCUGUUAUUAGGGAAGAACAUAUGUGUAAGUAACUGUGCACAUCUUGACGGUACCUAAUCAGAAAGCAACGGCUAACUACGUG
Molecule: ribosomal RNA, 497 nt
Filed under: uncultured bacterium
Lineage: Bacteria
Description: partial 16S ribosomal RNA
Rfam family: Bacterial small subunit ribosomal RNA
Source: RNAcentral